This is a long non-coding RNA of Phlebotomus argentipes, 531 nucleotides long. RefSeq lists it as uncharacterized. The transcript has 3 exons. NCBI's taxonomy places the organism in Eukaryota, Metazoa, Arthropoda, Insecta, Diptera, Psychodidae. The record is from RefSeq and is a predicted model, not a curated record.
UCGCCUCUCCAAUCUGAUUUUACGUGGAAAAGACUUUAGUCAAGGUAAAGAGUAACGGAUUGUGUUGCAAUGUUUCACGAAUUUAUUUUCAUACGAUAUUUUCCAGAAAUAUUUCUCAUUUCACAUCGCAUUAAUCAAUAAAAUUAUACCACCAGAGUAAUAAGAAAUUAAAAUGUGCAACAUCAUGAUCAAAACCGGACGAUGAUCGUGAAAACAUCAACCUAAAUGGAAGCACUCAACUUACAUCAACAUAAUCGCGCUUCAGUGACACUAUAGCGGGGAAAACGGCUUUUCUAGUAAAUGCCUUUCGUCUCGGCGUAAAUCAAUGGAGGAAAUAAUAUAGGAAGAGAGCAUAAAAAUGACUUUAUUACCUGAUGUCAGCAAGCAAAUUGCAUAAGAGACGCAAAACAGCAGGAAAGAUGCACCUGAAUUUCAACUCACUGUCUUUUGUCACAUCAUCUCCAAGAGAAUUUCAUUAGCAAAUAGCACUGCGAUAUAUCAUCAACGUGAUUCACCGUCCUGGGCGCGGAU